UGCAGCCGCGGUAAUUCCAGCUCCAAUAGCGUAUAUUAAAGUUGUUGCAGUUAAAAAGCUCGUAGUUGAAUUUCGGGGUCAGUAGAUUGGUCGUGCCACUGGUAUGUACUGGUCUUACUGGCUCCUCCUUCCUGAUGAACCGUAAUGCCAUUAAUUUGGUGUUGCGGGGAGACUGGACUGUUACUUUGAAAAAAUUAGAGUGUUUAAAGCAGGCUAACGCUUGAAUACAUUAGCAUGGAAUAAUGAAAUAGGACGUUCGAUCCUAUUUUGUUGGUUUCUAGGAUUGACGUAAUGAUUAAUAGGGAUAGUUGGGGGCAUUAGUAUUCAAUUGUCAGAGGUGAAAUUCUUGGAUUUAU
This 356-nucleotide ribosomal RNA is filed under the name uncultured Glomeraceae. RNAcentral describes it as "SSU rRNA". It matches the Rfam family "Eukaryotic small subunit ribosomal RNA", at positions 569 to 929 of the family's 1831-position model. The record is from RNAcentral. Lineage: Eukaryota; Fungi; Glomeromycota; Glomeromycetes; Glomerales; Glomeraceae.